This 479-nucleotide ribosomal RNA is filed under the name uncultured bacterium. Its description in RNAcentral is "bacterial SSU rRNA". It matches the Rfam family "Bacterial small subunit ribosomal RNA", at positions 364 to 841 of the family's 1533-position model. The record is from RNAcentral.
UUUCGCAAUGCCCGAAAGGGUGACGAUGCGACGCCGCGUGGAGGAUGAAGGCCUUCGGGUUGUAAACUCCUGUCAGGGCAAAAGAAGGGGAGGGGAGGAAACUCCCUGACCUUGACUCAGCCCAAAGGAAGCCCCGGCUAACUCCGUGCCAGCAGCAGCGGUAAGACGGAGAGGGCGAGCGUUGUUCGGAAUUACUGGGCGUAAAGAGCGCGUAGGCGGGUCCGUAUGUCAGGGGUGAAAGCCCCCGGCCCAACCGGGGAAUUGCCUCUGAAACUGCGGUCCUCGAGUGGAGCAGGGGGGAGUGGAACUCUCGGUGGAGCGGUGAAAUGCGUUGAUAUCGAGGGGAACGUCGGCGGCGAAGGCGACUCCCUAUGCUUCUACUGACGCUGAGGUGCGAAAGCCAGGGGAGCGGACGGGAUUAGAUACCCCGGUAGUCCUGGCCUUAAACGGUGGGCACUAAGUAGAGGGGUUUUAAUCUC